UGGGGAAUAUUGCGCAAUGGGGGGAACCCUGACGCAGCCAUGCCGCGUGAAUGAAGAAGGCCUUCGGGUUGUAAAGUUCUUUCGGUGAUGAGGAAGGGGUAUUAUUGAAUAGAUAAUAUCAUUGACGUUAAUUACAGAAGAAGCACCGGCUAACUCCGUGCCAGCAGCCGCGGUAAUACGGAGGGUGCGAGCGUUAAUCGGAAUAACUGGGCGUAAAGGGCACGCAGGCGGACUUUUAAGUGAGAUGUGAAAUCCCCGAGCUUAACUUGGGAACUGCAUUUCAGACUGGGAGUCUAGAGUACUUUAGGGAGGGGUAGAAUUCCACGUGUAGCGGUGAAAUGCGUAGAGAUGUGGAGGAAUACCGAAGGCGAAGGCAGCCCCUUGGGAAUGUACUGACGCUCAUGUGCGAAAGCGUGGGGAGCAAACAGG
This 429-nucleotide ribosomal RNA is filed under the name Pasteurella sp. enrichment culture. RNAcentral describes it as "bacterial SSU rRNA". It matches the Rfam family "Bacterial small subunit ribosomal RNA", at positions 355 to 776 of the family's 1533-position model. The record is from RNAcentral. Lineage: Bacteria; Pseudomonadati; Pseudomonadota; Gammaproteobacteria; Pasteurellales; Pasteurellaceae.